CAGGACGAACGCUGGCGGCGUGCCUAACGCAUGCAAGUCGAGCGGAGACAUACGGCGGAUUGAAGUUUCGGAUGGAAAUGAAGAUGUAUGUUUAGCGGCGGACGGGUGAGUAACGCGUGAGCAACCUGUCCUUCACAGGGGGAUAACACAGCGAAAGUUGUACUAAUACCGCAUAAGACCACGGGACCGCAUGGUUCUGGGGGUCAAAGGAGCAAUCCGGUGAAGGGUGGGCUCGCGUCCGAUUAGAUAGUUGGUGAGGUAACGGCCCACCAAGUCGACGAUCGGUAGCCGACCUGAGAGGGUGAUCGGCCACAUUGGGACUGAGACACGGCCCAACUCCUACGGGAGGCAGCAGUGGGGAAUAUUGGGCAAUGGGGGAAACCCUGACCCAGCAACGCCGCGUGAGGGAAGAAGGUUUUCGGAUCGUAAACCUCUGUCCUUGGUGAAGAGUAAGAGACGGUAGCCAAGGAGGAAGCCCCGGCUAACUACGUGCCAGCAGCCGC
RNAcentral lists this ribosomal RNA (503 nucleotides) under uncultured bacterium. RNAcentral describes it as "bacterial SSU rRNA". It matches the Rfam family "Bacterial small subunit ribosomal RNA", at positions 25 to 518 of the family's 1533-position model. The record is from RNAcentral.